This 345-nucleotide long non-coding RNA is filed under the name Ananas comosus (pineapple). RNAcentral's name for it is "long non-coding RNA (ACOM_LNC017406)". Lineage: Eukaryota; Viridiplantae; Streptophyta; Magnoliopsida; Poales; Bromeliaceae. The record is from RNAcentral.
GUUGGUAUUUUCAAAAAUAUACUCAUCAUUUUUUUUUUAUUCUUGGUUAUUCCAUAAAAUUAACCAAACACACUUUCAGCUAUUCUCAAAAAUAACACUUUAACUAACCAAACAUUUUUUUGUUUUAUUCCUGACUAUUCCAGAAUAACACCAUAACACUGGAAUUAAAUAUUUUAUCCCCUAAUUCGAUAUUCCCGAACCAAACGCAGCCUUAAAACUUUAUUUAUUGACUAAAAUAAAAAAGCCUUCCCUUAUAAAUAUCCAUAUUUUUUACUUUCUAAGAUUAAAUUUUCUUUACUUGUUAAAAAAAAAUAAUAAUUUUUUUAUGCAUUUCUAACAAUUUAA